Non-coding RNA from Pelobates cultripes (western spadefoot toad), 306 nucleotides. The record is from the annotation of a GenBank genome assembly. NCBI's taxonomy places the organism in Eukaryota, Metazoa, Chordata, Amphibia, Anura, Pelobatidae.
GUUGCAAUCUGCUUAGCCCCACUGUCAGCGGAUUGCUCGAUGGUAACCAUGGCUGUAUUUAAAAUAAAAGAUGUAGGUGUGCAAAUAAUCCCUUUAAAAAGUGUCAGUGCAGGAAACGUGACAAUGUAUCUGGAAUUCCCAGAGAUAGACACUUAAAAUCUAUUGGUGACACAAAAAAGUUCUGCCAAUGUCACACUGUGAAAGAGUACAUAGUCUUAUGUAAUGAAACAAAAUUGUAUCAAAAAUCUAUAAUACAUAAACAUUAACACAGACCUAGUGCAAUAUAGCCAGAACACAGUAUAGAAA